AGAUCAAAAAAUAUGCAGUCAAACUCAGUAGCCUCACUGCGAAUAGUCGAUGACACCGCAAGUCAAAGAACCACUCACACUACUACAGCAUCGAGAAGAUCACUGACGAGUGAGUAGACAUCCAAGUGAUUUCUCAUAUUGAUCACGCUCAAUGCAAGUUGUUCUCUAAUAAUCACCCGCAUCUUCACCUUAGUGUCUCUACACUGC
RNAcentral lists this long non-coding RNA (207 nucleotides) under Elaeis guineensis (African oil palm). Its description in RNAcentral is "long non-coding RNA (EGUI_LNC023073)". The record is from RNAcentral. Lineage: Eukaryota; Viridiplantae; Streptophyta; Magnoliopsida; Arecales; Arecaceae.